This 165-nucleotide ribosomal RNA is filed under the name uncultured bacterium. RNAcentral describes it as "partial 16S rRNA". It matches the Rfam family "Bacterial small subunit ribosomal RNA", at positions 355 to 511 of the family's 1533-position model. The record is from RNAcentral.
UAGGGAAUCUUCGGUAAUGGGGGCAACCCUGACCGAGCAACGCCGCGUGAGUGAAGAAGGUUUUCGGAUCGUAAAGCUCUGUUGUAAGAGAAGAACGUGUGUGAGAGUGGAAAGUUCACACAGUGACGGUAACUUACCAGAAAGGGACGGCUAACUACGUGCCAC